UUGGAAUUGUAGAUUUGGAAGGCACUGCAAAAUGACGAACGCACUAUAUAGUGAUAAGGGUGGUAAUAUGGACGCAACCUGGGUUUCAAAAGCAUUUAUUUUUUUCAGUUUCCAGCAACGUUCUCUCUGCUUUUCCUCCUGCCUGCAGUGUCCUGUCCAACGGUUAUUGAGCUUCUGGACCUGUGGCCUGCCCUGAAAAUGGAGUCGGGGGGUGUAUGCAGAGUUUCAGCGGAUUACAAGUCGGAACCUGCCCAACGCUUUUUAUGCUAAACUUGACCAUCAUCUUCCUCGACUUAUGACUAUAUUCAGACAAAAGGCAUCAAAAACUGGAGGGACUGCAGGUGCUCUGGCAGAAAUAUUAAAAAAUUAUGAUCAGCAGGACAUUCACACCAAGCGCACUACUGUUCUUCACGCCCUGCUGGUUUAUCUGCAUGAGGAUGUCUCUGAAGUUUUUAAAACUUGCACAAAAAUUAAUUCAGAAUGAGUCUGAUGAGCCAGAGCUUGAUGGUGUUGCAGUGGAGCUUCUUAUUGUCAUCAAUGACCAUCAGUGCACUAUGAGCCUGUAAAAAUCUCUGUUGUGAUGAAGUGUCAGCUUCCCCAGAUUCGGUGAUGCCUUCAUGGAACUCCCAUAAAUGGCCCCCCAGAAGCAUUUAGAGGCUUUUGUAGCCCUGGAUCAACCACAGUGUGGCAGCUUGGAGUAGUUCUGUAUGAAACUCUCCAUUACUGCAACGAUUUCUCAACAAUACAUUUUCUCAAAGGGGAUCAGAUGAUUGACAAUGAACUGUCAGAAGAGUGCCAAGACUUUUUCCAAGCAUGUUUAAAUACUUCCGAAGAACAGCGCCCCUUCCUCCAAUAUCUCCUCCACCAUCCAUGGCUCAGAUCAAUCUAGGACAAUACGGAUGAGACCUUCAAGAUGCUAAAACAAAGAAAAAGAAAACACACUCACACCCACACACACACAGGGACAGAGAACUCAAAUGUCUGAAAUUUGAGAAAGUUUAGAAAUGUUAGCAAAAAUCAUAAACCUAAAUUGACCUUAGAAUAUAUAUGUAGAGUGUAAAGGAAAAUGAUAAAUACUAAAGUUUAGCUGCAAGUAGGGGCAAAUGAUGGCAAUGUUCUAAGAUGAAAGUUGGCUCAGUUUUUACUCUUAGUACUACGUAGGUAACUGUGCCAAAUUUCAAAUUGGAAUUGGUUUCAAAAGUGGCAUUUUCCAUGAUUACUAGUGUUUACCAACACUUUUGUUAAAGUACCCCAGACUUGCACGAUACCCUGCUUUUUUUUCAGUCUUCCUUUGCUUUGAUGUUUGGAAACACGGCACUAGGCAGCGUUAAAACCAGAAUGUUGUUAAAAGAAACAUAGUAUAGUAGAAUUGAAAAUUCAGAUGGGGUAGCGAUCCAACUAGUUAAAGGAAAACUGGACACAUCUCCUCACUGGCGUUAAAUGCCUUCUGGGUUCUCUGUCUCCACUGAUUGUGCUAAUGCUGACUCUCCCGGAAAGAACUGCCUCGUUUUCCUCGUUCCAGUGACCGGGACCCGUCUGUGUUGCUGGGACCUUCGUCGAUGCCGUGUGGGGAUCUCCUCCAGAGAGAGUUGGCAGGACCUUCUGAGUGUCAAAUUUCGGACUCCUUGGCGUGGUGGUGCAGCUCCUUUGACCCCCCUGCCGUCGUCUUCAUAGAGAGCUUGGGCAGAAGAGGAGCGUGCUCCACCCAAACCGGGUGGAUUUAAUUGGCAGAAAGAAAAACCUAAAAACUAGGAGGGGACGUGCAAACACCAGACGAGGCUUUUUAAUUCAUCUGUAAAAACGUAAAAUUAGAAGCUCAGAAAUCAUUUUAAUUAGAAGCGUAGUUAAGUCUAACAAGGUUGCAUAGUGUUUAGGGAAUCAAAAGAUGUUGUUUAUUGCGGAUCUGACUAUUUUCCGAAAACAAGCAAAUAGAGGGAGAGGGAAAGCAUGCGCCAAAUGUAUAAAGGGAAGAAUGCAUUAGGAAGGGGCUACCAACACAAACUGAAUACAGGGGGGAAAGAAACUUAGGGACAAUCAAUAUUUCUGUAGUUAAAAAGACAGAUGUGGUCCCGUUACACGUGUAUGGGUUUUCCCUGGGCCCUUUGGCCUUCUCCCACAUCUUAAAGACGUGUCUCAAAGUUUAUUUGUUGCAUACCGAAACCUAGCUUUUCUUGAUAAAUUGGGAUUUAAAAUUCUUGAAAAGAAUCGGUAAAAGUAGGACGGUCCAAACCUCAAACGGCUUCCUACAUGAACUUUUGCAAAAGCAAAAAUAAACUUAAGAGCCUGCACAAAACCGUACUAGGUCUUCAAAAGCAAAAACAGUCAAUUAAAAAGCACUGUUUUUUUUUUAA
Non-coding RNA from Oryzias latipes (Japanese medaka), 2351 nucleotides. The record is from RefSeq and is a predicted model, not a curated record. Lineage: Eukaryota; Metazoa; Chordata; Actinopteri; Beloniformes; Adrianichthyidae.